Molecule: unclassified non-coding RNA, 709 nt
Filed under: Bombus terrestris (buff-tailed bumblebee)
Lineage: Eukaryota; Metazoa; Arthropoda; Insecta; Hymenoptera; Apidae
Description: misc RNA ENSBTSG00005029742.1
Source: RNAcentral
CACUAGAAAAUUACCUUGUUACUGAACACUUUAAGCUUCAGGUGUAGCUAAGGGGGCUUCUUUCUUUUCAUCAAUCGUAACAGCAUCUUUUUUAUCACCAACUGCUUUAUCAUUCUCAUCCACUUCCUUUUUUGGAGCAACCUUAAAUGUAUCUUCAUCAAAGUUCUCUACUAAAUCCGGUACCUCAUCAUCUUCUUCCAAGGUUGAUUUACCAACUGUGCUUCCAGAAACUGUACUUGCUAGUCGUUUCAACUGUGUAACACCUUCAGGACCCAACUGACUUAUUAUUCCCGGUAACAUGUCAGUUAUUUGUUUAUUCUCACCAUGACCAGUAAUGGCAAAUGUGUUAGCAGAUAAACUAGCUUGAGCUUUUGGAUUAUUGAAGUGGAUGACAGUACCAUCAUCCUUAAUCAUAUUAACCUCCUCUAUACCAGGAAUUGUAUUCACAGACAACUUUUUUAAACAACUUUGUAAUUUCUUAUCAUCUGUAGCAGCAGUAGCAUGAACAACCUAAAAAUAUAUUGAAUAUAGUUAAAUGUUAAUAGAUUGCACGUAUAUGUAUAUGUAGAUAGAUAUAUUGUUCAGUUAGUACAAUUUCUUUCUUGUAAAUUCUUAUACUCCACUACAGUAUAUCCAUAAAGAAUACAAAGAUUCAGUUUCUAUUGAAAUUAUAAACAUUGCGAUAUUAAUAAUUCUAGCCUAAAUUAAU